UCCCUUUGUAUGCGCAGCAGUGCUUAACUGCAGCCUAUACCGCUCGCGCUAACACAGUAAUUAUGAGUAAAAGACGAAAAGUUGGACUUUGACAUGAAAUGGCUAGCUCACGGCGCGCCACUCCCUAAAAUGAACGAGGAGAGCACAAGUAAGCGCACGAGGAAUCCCUGUGCAUAUUUCGAUGGGUAUUUUGCAUCUUGAAGACAACUCGGGAAGAUCUCUGAAUUGAGUCGAGACAACACUGUGAGGACACAGGGGGCGUCAGAUUUGGCUGACCAUAGCAUUUUUGGACCGUUUCAAUGGGAAACUCUUUGCAAAUAACGUCUUAAGGGAGGCCCCUUCGCUUUGCCUCCGUUCGUUUCUUUGAGACACGCUGCUGUAUGUUUCCCGUUUGUCCUGAAGGCGCACACGGGCGGAUAUAUUGGAGUCCGGCGCAGAUCUGGCGCAGCGGGCGGGAGGAACACCAGGAUCAUUGCAGUACCUAUAAUGAAUGGCUGCUGAAAGACACCACUGACCCUGGCAACGAGACGUUACAUUAGUGCUGCUGGUGUCAUGUGAACAUAAUCAUUUAGCAAAUUAUUUCGGGAGCUUUGGUGCUUGCAGUGUUUCCUGGGUU
Molecule: long non-coding RNA, 616 nt
Organism: Carassius carassius (crucian carp)
Lineage: Eukaryota; Metazoa; Chordata; Actinopteri; Cypriniformes; Cyprinidae
Exons: 3
Source: RefSeq, a predicted model, not a curated record